This 450-nucleotide ribosomal RNA is filed under the name uncultured bacterium. RNAcentral describes it as "bacterial SSU rRNA". It matches the Rfam family "Bacterial small subunit ribosomal RNA", at positions 29 to 524 of the family's 1533-position model. The record is from RNAcentral.
AGCGAACGCUGGCGGCAGGCUUAACACAUGCAAGUCGAACGGAUCCUUCGGGAUUAGUGGCGGACGGGUGAGUAACACGUGGGAACGUGCCUUUUGGUUCGGAACAACACAGGGAAACUUGUGCUAAUACCGGAUGUGCCCUUCGGGGAAAGGAUUUAUCGCCAUUAGAGCGGCCCGCGUCUGAUUAGCUAGUUGGUGAGGUAAAGGCUCACCAAGGCUACGAUCAGUAGCUGGUCNGAGAGGAUGAUCAGCCACACUGGGACUGAGACACGGCCCAGACUCCUACGGGAGGCAGCAGUGGGGAAUCUUGCGCAAUGGGGGAAACCCUGACGCAGCCAUGCCGCGUGAAUGAUGAAGGUCUUAGGAUUGUAAAAUUCUUUCAGCGGGGACGAUAAUGACGGUACCCGCAGAAGAAGCUCCGGCUAACUUCGUGCCAGCCGCCGCCGUAAU